GACGAACGCUGGCGGCGUGCUUAACACAUGCAAGUCGAACGAAAACUUCCGGUCUUGGGGCGCACGUGUACGUAAGACCUGGUAACCUGCCCUUGGGUACCGAGUAAUUCCCCGUGGGGGAUCUUAAUGACGGUUAGGGUCUUCGGGCCAACGAGUUAUCGCUGUAGGAUGGGGGUGGGUUGGUUUAGCUGGUUGGUAGGGUAAAAGCGUAGCAAGGCCACGAUCCAGGGCUGGUGUGAGAGGAUGACCAUCCACGAUGGGAAUGAGACACGGCCCAGACUCGUACGCAAGGGAGCAGUGGGGAAUAUUGUGCGAUGAGCGAAAGCCUGAUCCAGCAAUGCCGGGUGAGAGAUGAAGGGCGUAGGGUUGUGAAUCUCUUUUAGCCGGGAUGAUAAUGACAGUACCGGGUGAAUAAGCACCGGCUAACUCCGUG
RNAcentral lists this ribosomal RNA (433 nucleotides) under uncultured bacterium. RNAcentral's name for it is "partial 16S ribosomal RNA". It matches the Rfam family "Bacterial small subunit ribosomal RNA", at positions 28 to 507 of the family's 1533-position model. The record is from RNAcentral.